Manis javanica (Malayan pangolin) is the source of this 449-nucleotide long non-coding RNA. RefSeq lists it as uncharacterized. NCBI's taxonomy places the organism in Eukaryota, Metazoa, Chordata, Mammalia, Pholidota, Manidae. The record is from RefSeq and is a predicted model, not a curated record.
CGCGCUGCAGGCGUUACUGGGUAUUCAGAAAGGGCGUUUUUUCUGCCUUCUUCCCUCAGACAACAAUGAAAACCCAACCAUCUUUAAUAACUCCGGAUAAGUCAUUAUUGAAAAAGCAAUGCAGCGGCAGGCUUCCUGUUGGCAGAGUUUCUAGUCAAUUGCCAGUCCACCCAAAGUGUCGAGGGCUUCUUAGAUUUUGGGGGCUUUCUGAAGAAGUGAAACAUUGACAUUGCCGCUGGAGAGGCCCGCGCCGCAGUCCCUGACGUACCAGCACCAGAGCCCGACACCCUGCUUCCGGGUUAAGACACGGCGCCAAGGCAAUGAUCACAGGAGCCCCAGGCCCCACCUCACCUAAGCUGGACCUGCAAAGAAGUUCAGUACAUCCCAAAACUGUAUUGAGCAGUAGAGAUUUAACAAUAAUGUGUCACUAAUAAGUAUGUCAUAUUUGU